Molecule: long non-coding RNA, 1174 nt
Filed under: Theobroma cacao (cacao)
Lineage: Eukaryota; Viridiplantae; Streptophyta; Magnoliopsida; Malvales; Malvaceae
Description: long non-coding RNA (TCAC_LNC002752)
Source: RNAcentral
AAAAUAUAACACAAGUUGGCAGCAGCCCUUAUUCGUAGUUACUAAUCUAUCUAUAUGGCCAUAGUAGCUCAUGUUGUUCGGAUGGCUUGGUGAUGGGGGCUAGUUUUAUGGCUUCCCCAUUGGAGGGUGUCCUGGAUAGUGACCAUAAGGUGGCUCAUACACCGGUGGUUUCUUAGGAGGUUCAUAUACUGGUGGCUUCUUCGGAGGUUCGUAAACCGGUGGUUUGGGCUCUGGCUUCUCUUUCUUCGGAGGUUCAUAAACUGGUGGUUUUGGUGGCUUAGGUUCAUAUACUGGUGGUUUUGGUGGCUUAGGUUCAUACACUGGAGGCUUCUUUGGAGGCUCAUAUACUGGUGGUUUGGGUUCUGGCUUCUCUUUCUUUGGAGGUUCAUAAACUGGUGGCUUUGGUGGCUUAGGCUCAUAAACUGGUGGCUUUGGUGGCUUAGGUUCAUAUACUGGUGGUUUCUUUGGAGGCUCAUACACCGGAGGCUUCUUUGGAGGCUCAUAAACUGGUGGCUUUGGUGGCUUAGGUUCAUAAACUGGUGGCUUAGGUUCAUAUACUGGUGGCUUUGGUGGCUUAGGCUCAUAAACUGGUGGCUUUGGUGGCUUAGGUUCAUAAACUGGCGGUUUCUUUGGAGGCUCAUACACCGGAGGCUUCUUUGGAGGCUCAUAUACUGGUGGUUUGGGUUCUGGCUUUGGAGGCUUAGGUUCAUAUACUGGUGGUUUCUUUGGAGGCUCAUAAACUGGUGGCUUUGGUGGCUUAGGCUCAUAAACUGGUGGCUUUGGAGGCUUAGGUUCAUAAACUGGCGGUUUCUUUGGAGGCUCAUACACCGGUGGUUUCUUGGGAGGUUCAUAAACUGGUGGUUUGGGUUCUGGCUUUUCCUUCUUUGGAGGUUCGUAAACCGGUGGCUUGGGCUCCGGCUUCUCCUUCUUUGGGGGUUCAUAGACAGGGGGUUGGGGUUCUGGCUUCUUUGGAGGUUCGUAAACUGGUGGUGGUUUGUAAAUUGGGGGUGGCUUCACCUCGGGAGGUUUGUAAACAGGAGUAGGUGGUUUCCCAUAGCCGGGUAACUCGUAGGUACCAAGGGAGGGAGUGGCGAGAACCACCACUCCCAGGAGCAGUACUAGUAAGUGUGUAAGAGACAUCUUGGAGCUCUGGCUUUCGAUAGGGCAACUCGAA